Taeniopygia guttata (zebra finch) is the source of this 3431-nucleotide long non-coding RNA. RefSeq lists it as uncharacterized. The record is from RefSeq and is a predicted model, not a curated record. NCBI's taxonomy places the organism in Eukaryota, Metazoa, Chordata, Aves, Passeriformes, Estrildidae.
GGCUCGACUCUCUCGCGGCGGCGGCGGCCGUUCCCCGUCUCCGCCUCUCCCCGGCGCGCUCUGGCGGCCGUUGCCCCUCUCCCCGCCUGUGCCCGGCGCCCGCGCAGAGCCGUUACAUGAAGAAAGUACAUUGAAAAGGACAACCAAGCCUGUUGCUUGCUUCACAGCACAGUGAAGAAUAAAAUUAAUUUUAAUUACAGUUCUGCUGAGCAGCAUCCCUGAACUGCUUACAGCCACAAAGCAUAAACUGCCCGAGCUGACUGCCCCUUAUCUGUGUGUGCAGAAGCCGAUGGUGCUAUGAUGAAGAGCUUUACCAAACAACUAAGAAACUGUCAUGCAGAUUAUAAUUGUCUUCUAUGCAUCACUCAGAUUUGCCACAGAGCACUCUUGAGUGGUGGUUAUAGACUGUACAAUUUCUUGCAUUUUUAUGUAUGUACAGCAAACAUAUGUAUUCUAUUUUUAAACAUUAAAUGACUAAUUUGAAGGUAGCUUGUGUUGGGUUUAUAAGUUCCUAGUGGCUGCUCAGUUCUCUUCUGGGGACACCAAUGGACUUGACCCUGACUCAGCACAGCUCUCCUCAUUCACAGGCAUCACAGGAGCACUGUCACUGUUCCCACCGAAUCUUCAGGAGUUGAGAAGAGAGUGGGAAGUGGGUCGGACCUUACCCUUCCAUCCCAGACUGCCAACAGUUCUUUGCUGGUCCCAGGACUAGGGAGGUGAAGAAAAGUCUCACAAACUUGUUUUAUCCUCUUAUUUGAUUCUGUUUGCCAGUUACACCUGGGCUGGACCUGUGAAUCACUCCAGAUCCCUGCAGUCAUUUGUCAAAGCAGCUAUCAUAAUGCCACAGUAGAAUAUUUUCUUAUGUUGUCAUUGUGAAGCGGUAAUUCUAGAAUUACAGCAAUUCUUGUCAUAUUAUUGUUAUUUUUUUCCCCAAAGAAAAAUUACUGUGACUGUCUUGGGGGAUGUGCCAAGCUGGAAUUGUGGAAGCACAGAAAUAAGGCUUGAGGUUUCUGCUUAGUAAUUAAAACAGAUAUUUAGUCUGAAUAGAAUUCACAAGAUCAGAAUUGCAAUGAUCCAAAUGUUAGAAAUAGCAUUUCCUACUUUAACAAUCUGUGAUUCAAAUAAAAGGUGACAUAGUUCAAACAGAUAACACCAUGGAGAGUGAAAAAGGAAUUUAUUUUUGUGGGAAUGAGCGUAAGGGAGGGGGCAGAAAUGGAAGGUACACUGGUCCAUUCAAAAAUUCACAAAUGUAAGGUAAAUUACAAAUUCAGGAGGGUAGUGGUUAAAAGUGCUCUCUUUAUCCAGAAAACGCUUGAAGCCCAUCCCUAUUUGUGACAGUUCCCAAGCCGAUUCUUACUUUCACAAAUAAGCUUAAGAACCUAAUUAACUCAGCUCUUCUUAGUUUUCCCUUCUUAAUGGCUUACACUAUGAUACUUGAGGAAAACAGAUGAGAAAGAUGCGAAGUCAGGAAAGAAAAAAAAAAAGGAUAAGGAAUGUUAUGGAAAAGCAAAAAGAAGACAAAGAUAUUCCAAGUGGUUUACAAGUAAUUCAGUAGCUGAGGGAGGUGUCCACAAAGGAGAGGGCAGUGCCGAAAGGGAACUGAAACUUAAGUGCCCAAGAGAAAUGAAAGUGAAACUCCAGACUUUGAAUGGAAUGAGAACAAGGAAGGGAAGUGCUUAAACACUGACAAGUUAGUACAAUGGGAAAAGCUACUAUAAAAUUAUCUUGCCGAGUGCAAGUGCCCUGGAGGUUUUCUAACCUGGUUUUCUUUUAAAAAAUGAAUAGCUUGCAUAGGUCUUUAAUGACUUGCGCCCAGAGUCAUGCUGACUUAGGGUGAGCAACUGUACAGAGCCUUAGAGGGAAAAAUAUGUGUGUAAUCUGUCGGAGCUGAAAGCCAGAAGAACUCUGAGGCAACACAGAGCAGGCAGAGGAACUGCAGGACAGUGCUGCUGGUUCAGGAGCAACCACUUUUCUAGGAAGUGACUUUCUUUAGAGUACAGCAGGGAUCUGGUCUGACACCCCAGGACAAAGGGCAAGAAGCCGUGUCCAAGUGAGCCAUGGUUGCCAAUACUGGAUUUGCAGCAAAAGGAUCAGUGACUUCUCUGAGUCUUCCCCAUUGCUGCUCUCUUUUCAUCUGUACAUCAUAACCCCAGUUUACCAAAGCCUUGGAGGUUCCUGAGUUCACAGAGGCUUCAUUGCCAGUCUAGAAAUGUCCUUACAGACAUCUCCUUUUGUGAGCCUUCUGGCUCAGCUUUUCCACCUGGCUGUGACCACCAUUGCUUGGAUGCAUGAGCUGUGCAGAGCACCAGAAGACACAAGCCCUGGAGGGGCGAUUUCCUGUACUUUGUGUGCCAUCACACGGAGUAGAUGCAGCCACAGUGUGUCUUUUGAGUGACACCUCCCUCCUCACUAAAUUCUACCAAAGAGGUCAUUGACAUUGCAGGAUUUUGUUCAGCAGGCCUAAAACUUUCCUAGCAAUGCUUUUAGAUGGGAGGAAAACCAUUAAGAAAAAUAAAACUAAAACACUGGGACACUGAACUGAGUGCCGAAGCCAAGGGAAGAACCAACAAAGCAACCUUCAGCUCUAUCAACAUAAAUUUAUUUUUGGUUUUUUUUUUUUUUUUUUUUUUUUUUUUUUUAAUAUUGACUUCUCUUUCAGCAACAUAUAAAAUUAGUUUCACAGUCUCUGUUUAUUUAUUGCUACUUAAGGAUCUGCUAAAAUUGUUUUGUAAGAACAGGAAUGAAGUUAAUCUGUGGUCCAUGUAAAAAUCAGAUAGGGACAGUAGGAUAUGUAGAUAUAUAUUUCAUGUCAAGUAGUAUAUAUGUAUUUCAUAUAUAUCAGGAUAUUUUUUUCAUGUUGAUACUGUUCCCCAGGUACUAUCUCUGCUACUAAGUAUUCUCAUUUUUAACAAAGGCUGUAACAAAUCCUCAGUGAGGAUCUUUGCACAGAUGCCUAUACUAUGGGGUUGAAGACACAUAAAUAAGGCCACAAAUCUUCCUAUCCUCCUUUCCUCUUUUAUUUCCUUUCUUCCCUUUCCCCCCUUUAUUCCCUUUCUUCUCCUUUCCCAGACUGUACGAUAAUCAAUUGCUUUCUUUAUACAAAGUUUGCAGAUGUGUUUAAUCCACUGUCAGUAAUAUUGUCAGGUCUCCCAGCCAGACUCCCAAGGUGUAAGGAAAUAAUUUCAGGCAAUGUCAGACAAGUGUCACACAAAAGAAAACAACCUGGAAGAAAAGAUAAGUUCCUUGAUAAAGCUCUGGAAUGAUUUUGCUGACUCAUGAUUUGUCCUUUAUCUCAUGACAGCUGGCAUUUUUUGUGUAACUUACCUUUCGUUAAAUACGAGGCAGUUACCUUUUAGCCCUAGGCUCUGGAAGAAAAAGCCUUGAGAUUGUGACAACUCGAAAGUCACUAAAAAUAAAGCCUGUCAAAUUGA